RNAcentral lists this ribosomal RNA (404 nucleotides) under uncultured bacterium. RNAcentral's name for it is "bacterial SSU rRNA". It matches the Rfam family "Bacterial small subunit ribosomal RNA", at positions 976 to 1380 of the family's 1533-position model. The record is from RNAcentral.
CGGCCUUGACAUCCCCCUGACGAACGGGCAAUGCCGUUUUUCCUUCGGGACAGGGGAGACAGGUGGUGCAUGGUUGUCGUCAGCUCGUGUCGUGAGAUGUUGGGUUAAGUCCCGCAACGAGCGCAACCCCUGCCUUUAGUAGCCAGCAUAUGAGAUGGGGACUCUAAAGGGACUGCCAGGGACAACCUGGAGGAAGGUGGGGACGACGUCAAAUCAUCAUGCCCCUUAUGGCCGGGGCUACACACGUGCUACAAUGGCGUAAACAAAGGGAAGCGAAGGCGCGAGCCGGAGCGAAUCCCAAAAAUAACGUCCCAGUUCGGAUUGCAGUCUGCAACUCGACUGCAUGAAGCUGGAAUCGCUAGUAAUCGCGGAUCAGAAUGCCGCGGUGAAUACGUUCCCGGGUC